AACGUAGGAGGCGAGCGUUAUCCGGAUUUACUGGGUGUAAAGCGCGUGUAGGCGGCAGUGCAAGUUGUCUGUGAAAGCGCCCGGCUCAACCGGGCGAGGACGGGCAAGACUGCGCAGCUAGAGGCAGGUAGAGGUGUGUGGAAUUCCGGGUGUAGUGGUGAAAUGCGUAGAGAUCCGGAGGAACACCAGUGGCGAAGGCGACACACUGGGCCUGACCUGACGCUCAGACGCGAAAGCAUGGGGAGCGAACGGG
Molecule: ribosomal RNA, 253 nt
Filed under: uncultured bacterium
Lineage: Bacteria
Description: partial 16S ribosomal RNA
Rfam family: Bacterial small subunit ribosomal RNA
Source: RNAcentral